UCCAGGCGUCGAGUGGCGGACGGGUGAGUAACGCGUAGGAAUCUGCCAGAUAGUGGGGGAUAGCCCGGAGAAAUCCGGAUUAAUACCGCAUAAUCUCCAUGGAGUAAAGAGGGCCUCUAUUUAUAAGCUUUCGCUAUCUGAUGAGCCUGCGUAAGAUUAGCUAGUUGGUGGGGUAAUGGCCUACCAAGGCGACGAUCUUUAGCUGGUCUGAGAGGAUGAUCAGCCACACUGGGACUGAGACACGGCCCAGACUCCUACGGGAGGCAGCAGUGGGGAAUAUUGGACAAUGGGGGCAACCCUGAUCCAGCAAUACCGCGUGUGUGAAGAAGGCCUGAGGGUUGUAAAGCACUUUCAAUUGUGAAG
Molecule: ribosomal RNA, 363 nt
Filed under: uncultured bacterium
Lineage: Bacteria
Description: bacterial SSU rRNA
Rfam family: Bacterial small subunit ribosomal RNA
Source: RNAcentral